Molecule: long non-coding RNA, 977 nt
Organism: Athene cunicularia (burrowing owl)
Lineage: Eukaryota; Metazoa; Chordata; Aves; Strigiformes; Strigidae
Exons: 3
Source: RefSeq, a predicted model, not a curated record
AAGCUUAUCACAAAUGGGGAGAGAGAGCCCGCUGAGACCCGUGUCUGCACAAGGAGGAUCUCCACCUGCCAGACCUCCCCGACCUCACUCAUCUGCUCUGGGAACUGAAAGAACAGUGGGAGCCCUUGGAAUCCAGGUACACGACCACGGUCAGAUUUCUGCAAAGGAAAACAGAAUCGUUUUGGGUAAGGAGUUGGUUUGGGGUAACUUUGUGAUCUCUCCCAAUUCCCCUACUGGCCUUCUGGGCCUCUACUGAAUUUUGAAGUUCUCCACAUUCCAAAUGGUAGUACAGAGAGGAGUAGGGGAAGCCAUAAAAUACCUAUCUACCCCUUUGACGAGACCUUUUGCAGGAACUUCGUACAUUUAUCUCCUUGGCUCUAACAGGGAUUCAAUCGAUUUGAAUGGGCUCAAAAAUAACUGAAUUGGGAGGUCAAAACCCAAAUGAUUUGAAUGAUGUACACUUUGAAUUGGCUGCGGGUCCCAGAGAACUUUGAAGUCCAACAGGAGAUGCAGUGGGAUGGUUAAAAUCAGCUGAGCCAGUUGUGAUAAAAACAGAAGGAGGGACGACUCCUUCAGCUUGGCAAUAUCCAAGUAUAAAUGAGGCCAUUCCCAGUAUAGAAAAACAAACUGUACUUUUUUUUUUUAAAAAAAGAGUUUUGAAGGAGUGUCGUAGUCCUUGUAAUACUCCAAUUUUACCAGUUAGUAAACAUAAAGUAGAUAACGAUGGAGAUCCUGAAUAGAGAUUUGUUCGAGAUUUACGAGCUGUACACGAGCAUGUCACUGCUUCACACCCUGUGGUACCAGAUCCUAGGCUGAUUUUAAUACCACAGGUUCCAGUCCGGGCACAGUAUUUCACGGGGCUUAAUCUUACAGGAGCUUGCUUUGGCGUUCCAAUUGCAGAAGAAAGCCAAUCGGUCUUUGCCUUCACGUGGCACAGGAAGCAGUUCACUUGGGCUAGGUUACCACAAGGAUUUUAC